CAACUUUUAACAACGGAUCUCUUGGUUCUCGCAUCGAUGAAGAACGUAGCAAAGUGCGAUAACUAGUGUGAAUUGCAUAUUCAGUGAAUCAUCGAGUCUUUGAACGCAACUUGCACUCAUUGGUAUU
RNAcentral lists this ribosomal RNA (127 nucleotides) under zygomycete sp. FFI 6. RNAcentral describes it as "5.8S ribosomal RNA". It matches the Rfam family "5.8S ribosomal RNA", at positions 1 to 127 of the family's 154-position model. Rfam says of the family: 5.8S ribosomal RNA (5.8S rRNA) is a component of the large subunit of the eukaryotic ribosome. It is transcribed by RNA polymerase I as part of the 45S precursor that also contains 18S and 28S rRNA. Lineage: Eukaryota; Fungi; Mucoromycota. The record is from RNAcentral.